UGGACAGGUCAGCUUAGAAGAGAUGGG
Molecule: non-coding RNA, 27 nt
Filed under: Homo sapiens (human)
Lineage: Eukaryota; Metazoa; Chordata; Mammalia; Primates; Hominidae
Source: RNAcentral